This 860-nucleotide ribosomal RNA is filed under the name uncultured archaeon. RNAcentral describes it as "bacterial SSU rRNA". It matches the Rfam family "Archaeal small subunit ribosomal RNA", at positions 6 to 872 of the family's 1478-position model. The record is from RNAcentral.
GGUGGAUCCUGCCGGAGGUUACUGCUAUCGAGGUUCGACUAAGCCAUGCGAGUCGAAUGUAGCAAUACAUGGCGUACUGCUCAGUAACACGUGGACAACCUGCCCUUAGGACGGGUAUAAACCCGGGAAACUGGGUAUAAUCCCCGAUAGAUCUCGGCUGCUGGAAUGCACCGAGGUCGAAAGCUCCGGCGCCUAAGGAUGGGUCUGCGGCCUAUCAGGUAGUAGUGGGUGUAGCGUACCUACUAGCUACGACGGGUACGGGUUGUGAGAGCAAGAGCCCGGAGAUGGAUUCUGAGACACGAAUCCAGGCCCUACGGGGUGCAGCAGGCGCGAAAACUUUACAAUGCUGGCAACAGCGAUAAGGGAACCUCGAGUGCCAGGUUACAAAUCUGGCUGUCGUGAUGCCUAAAAAGCAUUACAUAGCAAGGGCCGGGCAAGACCGGUGCCAGCCGCCGCGGUAACACCGGCGGCUCGAGUGGUAACCGUUAUUAUUGGGUCUAAAGGGUCUGUAGCCGGCCGGAUAAGUCUCUUGGGAAAUCUGGCAGCUCAACUGUCAGGCUUUCAGGAGAUACUGUCUGGCUCGAGGCCGGGAGAGGUGAGAGGUACUUCAGGGGUAGGGGUGAAAUCUUGUAAUCCUUGAAGGACCACCAGUGGCGAAGGCGUCUCACCAGAACGGACCUGACGGCAAGGGACGAAAGCUAGGGGCACGAACCGGAUUAGAUACCCGGGUAGUCCUAGCCGUAAACGAUACUCGCUAGGUGUCGGCCACGGUGCGACCGUUGUCGGUGCCGUAGGGAAGCCGUGAAGCGAGCCACCUGGGAAGUACGGCCGCAAGGCUGAAACUUAAAGGAAUUGGCGGG